RNAcentral lists this ribosomal RNA (472 nucleotides) under uncultured bacterium. RNAcentral describes it as "SSU rRNA". It matches the Rfam family "Bacterial small subunit ribosomal RNA", at positions 26 to 518 of the family's 1533-position model. The record is from RNAcentral.
AGAGCGAACGCUGGCGGCGUGCUUAACACAUGCAAGUCGAACGAGGUCUGUAGCAAUACAGAUACUCGUGGCGAACGGGUGCGUAACACGUGGAUAACCUUCCUUCAGGUGGGGAAUAACCCAGUGAAAUUGGGCUAAUACCGCAUAACAUGACGAUGCCACAUGGUGUUGUCUUCAAAGGCGCAAGUCGCCAGAAGAGGGAUCCGCGGCCGAUUAGCUAGUUGGCGAGGUAAUGGCUCACCAAGGCAAUGAUCGGUAGCCGGACUGAGAGGUUGGCCGGCCACACUGGAACUGAGACACGGUCCAGACUCCUACGGGAGGCAGCAGUGGGGAAUUUUGCGCAAUGGGGGAAACCCUGACGCAGCAACGCCGCGUGGAGGAUGAAGCCCUUGGGGUGUAAACUCCUUUCGAUCGGGAAGAUAAUGACGGUACCGAUAUAAGAAGCCCCGGCUAACUUCGUGCCAGCAGCCGC